CUCUGAGUAGCUCAGUUGGUAAAGAAUCUGCCUGCAAUGCAGGAGACUGGGGUUCGAUUCCCGGGUCAGAAA
RNAcentral lists this transfer RNA (72 nucleotides) under Ovis aries (sheep). It matches the Rfam family "tRNA". Rfam says of the family: Transfer RNA (tRNA) molecules are approximately 80 nucleotides in length. Their secondary structure includes four short double-helical elements and three loops (D, anti-codon, and T loops). The record is from Rfam by way of RNAcentral. Lineage: Eukaryota; Metazoa; Chordata; Mammalia; Artiodactyla; Bovidae.